RNAcentral lists this ribosomal RNA (895 nucleotides) under uncultured bacterium. RNAcentral's name for it is "bacterial SSU rRNA". It matches the Rfam family "Bacterial small subunit ribosomal RNA", at positions 28 to 917 of the family's 1533-position model. The record is from RNAcentral.
AUUGAACGCUGGCGGCAUGCCUUACACAUGCAAGUCGAACGGCAGCACGGGAGCAAUCCUGGUGGCGAGUGGCGAACGGGUGAGUAAUGUAUCGGAACGUACCUUUCAGUGGGGGAUAACGUAGCGAAAGUUACGCUAAUACCGCAUAUUCUGUGAGCAGGAAAGCAGGGGAUCGCAAGACCUUGCGCUGAUUGAGCGGCCGAUAUCAGAUUAGCUAGUUGGUGAGGUAAAGGCUCACCAAGGCGACGAUCUGUAGCAGGUCUGAGAGGAUGAUCCGCCACACUGGAACUGAGACACGGUCCAGACUCCUACGGGAGGCAGCAGUGGGGAAUUUUGGACAAUGGGGGCAACCCUGAUCCAGCCAUGCCGCGUGAGUGAAGAAGGCCUUCGGGUUGUAAAGCUCUUUCAGCCGGGAAGAAAACGCAUGGGUUAAUACCCUGUGUGGAUGACGGUACCGGAAUAAGAAGCACCGGCUAACUACGUGCCAGCAGCCGCGGUAAUACGUAGGGUGCGAGCGUUAAUCGGAAUUACUGGGCGUAAAGCGUGCGCAGGCGGUUUGUUAAGAUAGGCGUGAAAUCCCCGGGCUCAACCUGGGAACUGCGUUUAUGACUGGCAGGCUAGAGUAUGGCAGAGGGGGGUGGAAUUCCACGUGUAGCAGUGAAAUGCGUAGAGAUGUGGAGGAACACCGAUGGCGAAGGCAGCCCCCUGGGCCAAUACUGACGCUCAUGCACGAAAGCGUGGGUAGCAAACAGGAUUAGAUACCCUGGUAGUCCACGCCCUAAACGAUGUCAACUAGGUGUUGGGUGGGUAAAACCAUUUAGUACCGGAGCUAACGCGUGAAGUUGACCACCUGGGGAGUACGGCCGCAAGGUUAAAACUCAAAGGAAUAGACGGG